AGUGUAGUGGUGUGUGUAGUGUAGUGGUGUGUGUAGUGUAGUGGUGUGUGUAGUGUAGUGGUGUGUGUAGUGUAGUGGUGUUGUGUAGUGUAGUGGUGUGUGUAGUGUAGUGGUGUGUUGUAGUGUAGUGUAGUGGUGUGUGUAGUGUAGUGGUGUGUGUAGUGUAGUGGUGUGUGUAGUGUAGUGGUGUGUGUGUAGUGUAGUGGUGUGUGUAGUGUAGUGGUGUGUGUAGUGUAGUGGUGUGUGUAGUGUAGUGGUGUGUGUAGUGUAGUGGUGUGUGUAGUGUAGUGUAGUGGUGUGUGUAGUGUAGUGGUGUGUGUAGUGUAGUGGUGUGUGUAGUGUAGUGGUGUGUGUAGUGUAGUGGUGUGUGUAGUGUAGUGGUGUGUGUAGUGUAGUGGUGUGUGUAGUGUAGUGGUGUGUGUAGUGUAGUGGUGUGUGUGGUGUAGUGGUGUGUGUAGUGUAGUGGUGUGUGUAGUGUAGUGGUGUGUGUAGUGUAGUGGUGUGUGUAGUGUAGUGGUGUGUGUGGUGUAGUGGUGUGUGUAUGUGUAGUGGUGUGUGUAGUGUAGUGGUGUGUGUAGUGUAGUGGUGUGUGUAGUGUAGUGGUGUGUGUGGUGUAGUGGUGU
RNAcentral lists this long non-coding RNA (623 nucleotides) under Salmo salar (Atlantic salmon). RNAcentral describes it as "lncRNA (ENSSSAG00000099122.1)". The record is from RNAcentral. Lineage: Eukaryota; Metazoa; Chordata; Actinopteri; Salmoniformes; Salmonidae.